GAUAGAUGCGGAAGAGCAGGAAGUCCAGGACGUAGCCGACGUGACACCAUUGCUCGUACAGCUCGCUCUCCUUCUGCGUCGAGCUCACCUGAGCACGUAGCUCGCUCAGGUGCUGACAGAUUUGUUGUAGCUCGGCCAUCGCAGGGCUGCCUGGUUUGUCCUGGACCACAGAAGGAGGCGGACUGUCCUCCUGCCAACGGUAACAGAUGAGGUUGGCGAUGUGUUUGAGGACCACCAGCCUCACCCACUGUGGAACGGCUUGGUGUUUCAUGGAGUUGUUGUGGAGAACAUUGGAGCGGCGUACAAAUAAAAACUCAAAGGCAAACUCUGACCUAUGAUGGGCGUUCCGUUGGCGGUGCUGGGCAGCAGGUCGUUCAUGAUGAGCAGGAAGACGGUGUAGCCCAGGAUGAGGGUCAUCUUGAAGGAGGCCCGGUCCACACUGUGGGGCGGCAGGUAGAAGGACAGAAUGUCGAUGAGCAUGAGGAAAGAGCUGGGGAUCAGCAGGUUGACCACGUAGAGCACGGGGCGCCGCUUUAUCACCACCUUUUUGAAAAAGAGGCAAGAUUGAAAUGGGGAAAUGAUUCCGGAAUAAUUUUCUGCUUCCUUCUGACCCAGAAAGUGAUGACGUCCCAUUCAUCGAUCCCGAACUGAAGGAUGGAGGUCUCUCCCAGAAUGUCUACCAGUUCCCACUCUCCACUGGCUUCCAGGUAACGCUUUGAGUUUCCAGACAUUUCUUUGAAGGUCAGUGCUGGACUCACCCUCACAUCACGUACUGGCAAACAAAACACAAUCAGGGAGAUGGCCAUGAUUUAUUCUGCAGUUGAUUACUGCACAGUCACUAGUCAACAUUCCUGACUCAGUAACAUUUGCACAUAUUUU
Long non-coding RNA from Nerophis lumbriciformis (worm pipefish), 879 nucleotides. RefSeq lists it as uncharacterized. The record is from RefSeq and is a predicted model, not a curated record. NCBI's taxonomy places the organism in Eukaryota, Metazoa, Chordata, Actinopteri, Syngnathiformes, Syngnathidae.